AAACUGUUCACUCACUAUGCACUUCCCAUCAAAACGGCAGGCUUCAGUUCUCUGUGCUCUCUGCGGCGAUACGGCCUGCUCACAGAAUCUAGGUCCCGAGUCACUUGGAUGUGACCAACUGCCAACAGAGAGAGGAAAGACAGAAGCGGCUACUUAAAAGCCAAACCCAGGGUUUGGAAGUUGUCUCUCAGAUGGCAAGAGGCUCUUGGAAUUAAAUCAGCUCCUUUGGAGAAUAAAGUCUUAUGCUCAAACACGACAGGUAUAAAUUACUGAGAAGGAACUUCAUAGCUCAGAGAAGCUAUUUCCCCACCAGCCCAACCCACUGCUCAGGGUGAUAACCCGGACUCCCCUGUCGUCAUCACGGGCAAGGGAGGGCUGUACUGUUAUCCCCUGUCCUUAGUAAAGUCGUCCUGGACUCAGUCGGGAAUCUUGUUGGACAGUCACCUCUGACUCCAUCUUGAGCGGCCUGUGGGGCACCGUAAGCCGAACUGGGUUUCUUGUGGUCAAGGAAGAUACAAAAGAGCUGGUGGGUGGCCACGUCAAGGCCUGGCUUGUGCAGGGGAUGUUCUCCCACCGGGAACCACGGGAGGCCUGACCCCGGUACAAGUCCACAUGGAAAAGCUGGCAAAACAGCCUGCCAUCGGCACAGUACAGGAAGCGGUUUGCGCUGUGGCUACACCACCCAUGUGUUACACAAUGUGAUACAACUGGGGGGGGGGGCGUGGGGGACAACUGGCUUUCUUCUUCUUCCAAAUUAAAAUAGCCUUUCCUUAACGAA
This 778-nucleotide long non-coding RNA is filed under the name Mus pahari (shrew mouse). RNAcentral describes it as "lncRNA (MGP_PahariEiJ_G0004960.1)". Lineage: Eukaryota; Metazoa; Chordata; Mammalia; Rodentia; Muridae. The record is from RNAcentral.